Molecule: ribosomal RNA, 494 nt
Filed under: uncultured bacterium
Lineage: Bacteria
Description: partial 16S ribosomal RNA
Rfam family: Bacterial small subunit ribosomal RNA
Source: RNAcentral
GACGAACGCUGGCGGCGUGCUUAACACAUGCAAGUCGAACGGUGAAGCGCCUUCCUUUUUGGUGGGUGUGGAUGAGUGGCGAACGGGUGAGUAACACGUGAGUAACCUGCCCCCUUCUUCUGGAUAACCGCAUGAAAGUGUGGCUAAUACGGGAUAUUCUGGGUCUGUCGCAUGAUGGGUCUGGGAAAGAUAUUGUUUCGGUGGGGGAUGGGCUCGCGGCUUAUCAGCUUGUUGGUGGGGUGAUGGCCUACCAAGGCGGUGACGGGUAGCCGGCCUGAGAGGGUGGACGGUCACACUGGGACUGAGACACGGCCCAGACUCCUACGGUAGGCAGCAGUGGGGAAUAUUGCACAAUGGGCGCAAGCCUGAUGCAGCGACGCCGCGUGAGGGAUGGAGGCCUUCGGGUUGUGAACCUCUUUCGCCAGUGAAGCAGGCCUGCCUCGUUUGUGGGUGGGUUGACGGUAGCUGGAUAAGAAGCGCCGGCUAACUACGUG